Molecule: transfer-messenger RNA, 370 nt
Filed under: Microbacteriaceae
Lineage: Bacteria; Bacillati; Actinomycetota; Actinomycetes; Micrococcales
Also listed under: 1 other name
Description: Schumannella sp006517535 Standard tmRNA
Rfam family: transfer-messenger RNA
About the family: Bacterial tmRNA, also known as 10Sa RNA or SsrA, is named for its dual tRNA and mRNA-like properties. Its role is to liberate the mRNA from a stalled ribosome.
Source: RNAcentral
GGGGAUGAUCGGUUUCGACAUUGCCUGUGACCCUGCGAGAAGCGGGCCGAGGAUGCAGGGUUAUCUCGUUAACGCUCUCUGCAACCUAUAGGUGCCAAUUCCAAGCGCACCGACUUCGCCCUCGCUGCCUAAGCAGGGUUGAAAGUCCGUCAGACCGGGUUCGCCUUCGCCCCGGACCCUGGCGUCAGCUAGAAGGCUCGCUGCGGUGUCGUGUCUCAGGGCACCGCGGGACUUGCACUGAGACUGGGCCCGUCGAUCUAGGCGUUCGUGACAAAGAUCGGGGCCGAGCAGAACGUCUCCACGGACUACGCCCGUAGAAGGCGCAGCCUUGCAGCAGUGGACGGGGGUUCGAUUCCCCCCAUCUCCACCA